RNAcentral lists this ribosomal RNA (253 nucleotides) under uncultured bacterium. RNAcentral's name for it is "partial 16S ribosomal RNA". It matches the Rfam family "Bacterial small subunit ribosomal RNA", at positions 524 to 776 of the family's 1533-position model. The record is from RNAcentral.
UACGAAGGGGGCUAGCGUUGCUCGGAAUUACUGGGCGUAAAGCGCACGUAGGCGGAUUGUUAAGUCAGGGGUGAAAUCCUGGAGCUCAACUCCAGAACUGCCUUUGAUACUGGCGAUCUCGAGUCCGGGAGAGGUGAGUGGAACUGCGAGUGUAGAGGUGAAAUUCGUAGAUAUUCGCAAGAACACCAGUGGCGAAGGCGGCUCACUGGCCCGGUACUGGCGCUGAGGUGCGAAAGCGUGGGGAGCAAACAGG